GUACGCAACCCCGUCCAUUCCCCUCCCCCGACCCCGAGCGGUCGAGCGCCGCCUCCGCCGGCUUCCGUCGUCGACCACCUCCUGGUGCUGCCGUCGUCAACCACCUCACCGUAGACCACGAAGCCGCAGUACUGGAGGGAAAGAGGAGAAGAGGAGGGAGCACAGCGCGUGCAGCUGCCUGCCGUCGAGUUGAGGGUCGACCGCCGCCAUCUCCACCUGUCCGCCGUCGACCACCUCCUCGCCGGCUCGCUGCUGUCGAUAAGAGAUGACCACGAAGCUGGAGGAGGGGGAGGAUGUGCCUGCACCUGCACGCCGUCUCCCCUGCACCUGUUCGAUCUCCUCUGUCCUCUCCUCUGCAUUAUCCCAUCUCUGACCGAGGUGCCGCAUGGCAUUGAAUCUUCUUAGGAAUGAGUUCUAUGAUGUGCGUGACAAGCUAGAGACCAUUAUGCAGUUGGAGCAGCAGAUUGUAGCCUUGGGUCCUAAGUAGCAGUAAUCGAAGCCAAAAAAGCAUAGCCCCAUGUGACCUGGCACGAUGGGGUGUAUGUAUCUCUGAAGAUGUAGGCAACAUUCAGUGGUAGCUGGGCUUUGGAGGGGCCUCAUCGAAUAAUAUGAUAAUUCUUGUUUCGGCACUCCGCGAUCGCGACCACCCUGCAGAUGGAACUUGUGGUCUUGUUUGUCGAUGUCUUUGUCUGUCAAAUAUAUAUACUUGUGCCUCGUGGAUGGCCCGCGGACUGGGCAUAAACUCUAUACUUGGUUGUU
Molecule: long non-coding RNA, 759 nt
Organism: Triticum aestivum (bread wheat)
Lineage: Eukaryota; Viridiplantae; Streptophyta; Magnoliopsida; Poales; Poaceae
Exons: 3
Source: RefSeq, a predicted model, not a curated record